UAACAUAGGAUGAGGUUGACGGUACCUUGAUAAGAAGCACCGGCUAACUACGUGCCAGCAGCCGCGGUAAUACGUAGGGUGCGAGCGUUAAUCGGAAUUACUGGGCGUAAAGCGUGCGCAGGCGGUUUUGUAAGUCAGAUGUGAAAUCCCCGAGCUCAACUUGGGAACUGCGUUUGAAACUGCAAGACUAGAAUAUGUCAGAGGGGGGUAGAAUUCCACGUGUAGCAGUGAAAUGCGUAGAGAUGUGGAGGAAUACCAAUGGCGAAGGCAGCCCCCUGGGAUAAUAUUGACGCUCAUGCACGAAAGCGUGGGGAGCAAACAGGAUUAGAUACCCGAGUAGUC
This 342-nucleotide ribosomal RNA is filed under the name Weissella confusa. RNAcentral's name for it is "bacterial SSU rRNA". It matches the Rfam family "Bacterial small subunit ribosomal RNA", at positions 454 to 795 of the family's 1533-position model. The record is from RNAcentral. Lineage: Bacteria; Bacillati; Bacillota; Bacilli; Lactobacillales; Lactobacillaceae.